RNAcentral lists this ribosomal RNA (253 nucleotides) under uncultured bacterium. Its description in RNAcentral is "partial 16S ribosomal RNA". It matches the Rfam family "Bacterial small subunit ribosomal RNA", at positions 524 to 776 of the family's 1533-position model. The record is from RNAcentral.
UACAGAGGGGGCAAGCGUUGUUCGGAAUUACUGGGCGUAAAGGGCGCGUAGGCGGCCUGCUAAGUCGAACGUGAAAUCCCCGGGCUCAACCCGGGAACUGCGUCCGAUACUGGUUGGCUUGAAUCCGGGAGAGGGAUGCGGAAUUCCAGGUGUAGCGGUGAAAUGCGUAGAUAUCGGGAGGAACACCUGUGGCGAAGGCGGCCCCCUGGUUGGAUACUGACGCUGAUACGCGAAAGCGUGGGGAGCAAACAGG